RNAcentral lists this small RNA (687 nucleotides) under Chromobacterium sp. N1b. RNAcentral describes it as "bacterial LSU rRNA". The stretch from base 264 to 687 matches the Rfam family "Bacterial large subunit ribosomal RNA", at positions 1 to 467 of the family's 2925-position model. Lineage: Bacteria; Pseudomonadati; Pseudomonadota; Betaproteobacteria; Neisseriales; Chromobacteriaceae. The record is from RNAcentral.
CAAAAGCGCACACAGCAAUUUUAUUGCUGCGUGAAUUUCUGUUUGCGUUGUGUAGACAAUGCCCGAUCUUUAACAAACUGAAGAAGCCGAAUUAAUUAGACGGCGAAAUGAAACACCUGCAGUUAACUCUGCAUGUGGGACAAAUCGUCAUCUUGGGAAUUUGAUUGUAUCUAAUGUCAUGUCGCCAUAUCAAAAGGGGCGGUGUGACAUGUCGCACAAACACAAUCCUGUCGGAUUGGUAACUCAGGUUACUGAAAUGAUAGGGUCAAGCGACUAAGUGCAUCUGGUGGAUGCCUUGGCGAUCACAGGCGAUGAAGGACGUGUAAGCCUGCGAAAAGCGCGGGGGAGCUGGCAAUAGAGCUUUGAUCCCGCGAUAUCCGAAUGGGGAAACCCACCCGCAAGGGUAUCCCAGACUGAAUACAUAGGUCUGUGGAAGCGAACCGAGUGAACUGAAACAUCUAAGUAACUCGAGGAAAAGAAAUCAACCGAGAUUCCGUCAGUAGUGGCGAGCGAACGCGGAAUAGCCUGUAUGUGAUAGAGAUUGAGAUAGUGGAAGGCAUUGGAAACUGCCGCCAUAGUGGGUGAUAGCCCCGUACACGAAAUUUCAUUCUUGGUACUGAGCAUACGAAAAGUAGGGCGGGACACGCGAAAUCCUGUUUGAAGAUGGGGGGACCAUCCUCCAAGGCU